This is a non-coding RNA of Pelobates cultripes (western spadefoot toad), 299 nucleotides long. The record is from the annotation of a GenBank genome assembly. Lineage: Eukaryota; Metazoa; Chordata; Amphibia; Anura; Pelobatidae.
GGGAUUGCUGGCUUCCUCCCUGGAAGCAGGUAGGAGAGACGCUGUUCUCUCCUGUGAGAGAGUCAAGGAGACUGGGCACUGGGAGUGCAGAAGGAAAACAGUCAAGGCUGGCUUGGAGCACUGGCAGUGCAGAAAGGAAAGCAGUUAAGGUUGGCUUGGAGCACUGGGAGUGCAGAAAAGAAAGCAGUCACGGUGACUGAGUGUUGGAGUGCAGAGUGUUGUUAUCUAAUAAGGUUGGUGCAACCCAAUGAUACGUUUUGUUAGUUUAACCCAUGAUAGAGAGGGAUAUUAAAGGUUAG